AGAGUUUGAUCCUGGCUCAGGACGAACGCUGGCGGCGCGCUUAACACAUGCAAGUCGAGCGAGAACCAGUCCUUCGGGGCUGGGGACAGCGGCGAACGGGUGAGUAACACGUGAGUAAUCCACCCUCGGUACCGGAAUAGCCCGGGGAAACCCGGAUUAAUGCCGGAUGGCCCAUCUGUUCUUCGGAAUUUGAUGGAAAAGAUAGCUUCGGCCUUCGACCGAGGACGAGCUCGCGGCGGAUUAGCUUGUUGGCGGGGUAAAGGCCCACCGAGGCGACGAUCCGUAGCUGGUCUGAGAGGACGAUCAGCCACACUGGGACUGAGACACGGCCCAGACUCCUACGGGAGGCAGCAGUGGGGAAUCUUGCGCAAUGGGCGAAAGCCUGACGCAGCGACGCCGCGUGAGGGAAGAAGGCCUUCGGGUUGUAAACCUCUUUCAGGAGGGACGAAGCCACUCGGGUUAAUAGCCCAGAGGGUGACGGUACCUCCAGAAGAAGCCCCGGCUAACUACGUGCCAGCAGCCGCGGUAAUAC
Molecule: ribosomal RNA, 532 nt
Filed under: uncultured bacterium
Lineage: Bacteria
Description: bacterial SSU rRNA
Rfam family: Bacterial small subunit ribosomal RNA
Source: RNAcentral